ACUACGGGAGGCAGCAGUGGGGAAUAUUGGGCAAUGGGCGCAAGCCUGACCCAGCAAUGCCGCGUGAAGGAAGAAGGCUUUCGGGUUGUAAACUUCUUUGACAGGGGAAGAGCAGAAGACGGUACCCUGAAAACAAGCCACGGCUAACUACGUGCCAGCAGCCGCGGUAAUACGUAGGUGGCAAGCGUUGUCCGGAUUUACUGGGUGUAAAGGGCGUGUAGCCGGGAAGGCAAGUCAGAUGUGAAAUACGGAGGCUCAACAGCCGGAUUGCAUUUGAAACUGUUUGUCUUGAGUACUGGAGAGGCAGACGGAAUGCCUUGUGUAGCGGUGAAAUGCGUAGAUAUAAGGAGGAACACCAGUGGCGAAGGCGGUCUGCUGGACAGCAACUGACGGUGAGGCGCGAAAGCGUGGGGAGCAAACAGGAUUAGAUACCCGAGUAGUC
This 442-nucleotide ribosomal RNA is filed under the name uncultured bacterium. RNAcentral's name for it is "partial 16S ribosomal RNA". It matches the Rfam family "Bacterial small subunit ribosomal RNA", at positions 338 to 795 of the family's 1533-position model. The record is from RNAcentral.